Drosophila melanogaster (fruit fly) is the source of this 1122-nucleotide non-coding RNA. The record is from Ensembl. NCBI's taxonomy places the organism in Eukaryota, Metazoa, Arthropoda, Insecta, Diptera, Drosophilidae.
UGUUUAAAAAAGGCUAUUCUAUGUUACAAAUUUCUAGCAAAACUUAAAUUUAUUUAGUUUUUUUAGCCUCUUUAUUCUCGGACUUCUUCUCCUUCUUUUCCUUUUUGGGGGCUUCUUUGCAAGGAGGAUUGCACUUGCUCUCCUUGGUCUCCUUCUUCGGCACACCCGGGUUGCACUCCUCGUGAACGGGUCGAGGCUCCUGAUACCCUGUAUCCGGUGAGCACGGCGGGCAAUCGCAAUCGGACUUCAAAUCCGUGCAGCAGCUGGGUGGAGUUGGUCCAAUGUAAAAGGGAUUGAAGCGGCACACCAUUCUGAAGGAAAGUAGGGAAAUAUCCGAGAUCGGAAACUUACAAUUUAAUCAAAUUAAUUUCUGUAAAUUUUUCUAAAAUUUUACCAAAAAGUGACAUUUUCUGAGACAAAAAUAGCUUAGACAGACGAUUUCAAAUUUUCAUACAAAUUUUCAUUCAAAUAAAAAUUCUCAGAGAACGCAUUGCAAAAAUGUAAAUUGACACCUAAAUGGAGAAUAAUUAUUUUAGUGUUUGCCAACCAGCACAGAUGAGAAAUUAAACAAUUCCUGAGGCUCAUGUUUGUCCAUGGGCAAUUGUAAUUAUUUACGAGUCGAAACACCAAAUUAGCAUUAAAUCGAGAGCGGUCGAGACCGAACAAACAAGCAAACAAACCGAGUUUGCCAGUAAAUAUUUGCUGGCGUGUGCCAGCUUAUAAAGCUGCAGGCGUAGAGUGCUUAAAGCUGAUUAUGUGAGUUUGCACAACAAAUGCGGAAAACAUACAAAGAAAUCGAAAAGAAGCCGAGGAAAACCGCAGAAAAAUAAACGUUUAAUGGCGGCAGACUCAUAAAAAAUCCCCAGCUAAAAUGACGGGCUCGGAAAACUGUACCAAAAUAAGGAGAGGCAAUAAAGCAAAACACAUAAGCCGCAACGCCACGAAAAGGACAUGCCGAUGGACGGGGAAGGAGAUAAAGGACGCGCUCACAUGCCUUGAAAGUUUUCAAUUUUUACGACUUCAUUAGAAACGCUUGAUGAGCAAUAAUGAUAAGAGGGCGAAAGCGGAAACGGAAGUCACAGAAGGGUGCAAAGGAUGCGGAAACGCGGGGCCUGGCCACAG